Molecule: ribosomal RNA, 252 nt
Filed under: uncultured bacterium
Lineage: Bacteria
Description: partial 16S ribosomal RNA
Rfam family: Bacterial small subunit ribosomal RNA
Source: RNAcentral
UACGUAGGAUGCGAGCGUUAUCCGGAUUUAUUGGGUUUAAAGGGUGCGUAGGCGGAUCGUUAAGUCAGUGGUCAAAUUGAGGGGCUCAACCCCUUCCCGCCAUUGAAACUGGCGAUCUUGAGUGGAAGAGAAGUAUGCGGAAUGCGUGGUGUAGCGGUGAAAUGCAUAGAUAUCACGCAUAACCCCGAUUGCGAAGGCAGCAUGCCGGCUUCCUACUGACGCUGAAGCACGAAAGCGUGGGGAUCGAACAGG